CCCUUAGAUGUCCUGGGCUGCACGCGCGCUACACUGAUGUGUCCAGUAAGCACCUAACCUAUUCCGAGAGGAGCGGGUAACCUUAGCAAAGCACAUCGUGAUGGGGAUAGAUUAUUGCAAUUAUUAGUCUUGAACGAGGAAUUCCUAGUAAGCACAAGUCAUCAGCUUGUGUUGAUUACGUCCCUGCCCUUUGUACACACCGCCCGUCGCUCCUACCGAUUGAAUGUUCCGGUGAAUGAUUCGGACCAGCGUGCUGCUCAGAUCCUGCGCAGUGUGCUGGGAAGUCUAGUGAACCUUAUCACUUAGGGGAAGGAGAAGUCGUAACA
RNAcentral lists this ribosomal RNA (326 nucleotides) under uncultured eukaryote. RNAcentral's name for it is "partial 18S ribosomal RNA". It matches the Rfam family "Eukaryotic small subunit ribosomal RNA", at positions 1470 to 1796 of the family's 1831-position model. The record is from RNAcentral.